RNAcentral lists this unclassified non-coding RNA (163 nucleotides) under soil metagenome. Its description in RNAcentral is "partial internal transcribed spacer 1". The record is from RNAcentral.
CCGAGUUACAAACUCAUCAACCCAUGUGAACAUACCUUAAACUGUUGCUUCGGCGGGAUACAGCCCGGCCCUUCUGCUGCACAACGGACCAGCACCCGCCGGAGGACCCUAACUCUUGAUUUUAUACUGAUUAUCUGAGUAACCUAAGGCAAAUAAAUGAUCA